GAGUUAUACGGACGUAGAUAGAAUAAGUAGUGUAGCGGUGCAAACUGCAUAGAUAUUCACUUAGAAUACCGAUUCGCGAACGGCAGUCUACUACGCUAUACUACUGACGCUCAUGGACGAAACGCGUGGGGCAGCGCAACAGGCUUCAGAUCCCUGGUAGUCCACGCCGUACACGAUGGACACUAGUUGUUGGGAUUUGUCUCAGUGACUACGCGCC
RNAcentral lists this ribosomal RNA (217 nucleotides) under uncultured bacterium. RNAcentral describes it as "partial 16S ribosomal RNA". It matches the Rfam family "Bacterial small subunit ribosomal RNA", at positions 644 to 855 of the family's 1533-position model. The record is from RNAcentral.